GUACUCGCUUUGGCAGCACAUAUAUUAAAAUUGGAAAGAUACAGAGAAGAUCAGCACGGCCCCUGCACAAGGGUGACAUGCAAAUUCAUGAAGCAUGCCAUAUGUUU
This 107-nucleotide small nuclear RNA is filed under the name Piliocolobus tephrosceles (Ugandan red Colobus). Lineage: Eukaryota; Metazoa; Chordata; Mammalia; Primates; Cercopithecidae. The record is from RNAcentral.